GACGCCCUAAGUCUACCAACCAAUUUUCUCUCCCCCAACUAGCCCCCAACCAGUGUUAUUAAAGGCAAGGAAAGGCGCCAAAUGAGGCACGAGGCGAGGUUGUCUUGCCUCAUGUCACCCGAGCGAGGCGUGCCCAUGUGGAGAGAGGUGAGUGCCUCUCUCGCCUAGGUGCUAAGGUGCGGCAAGGAAAAGUUUUUUUUUUU
This 203-nucleotide unclassified non-coding RNA is filed under the name Hevea brasiliensis (rubber tree). The record is from RNAcentral. Lineage: Eukaryota; Viridiplantae; Streptophyta; Magnoliopsida; Malpighiales; Euphorbiaceae.